This is a long non-coding RNA of Onthophagus taurus, 609 nucleotides long. RefSeq lists it as uncharacterized. Lineage: Eukaryota; Metazoa; Arthropoda; Insecta; Coleoptera; Scarabaeidae. The record is from RefSeq and is a predicted model, not a curated record.
AAUAAUUUUUAAUAUUUCACUCUCACCGCCCCCAUUUUUCUUACAUUCCACCUGUUACGCAUGCUCAACUUGGUCUCAUUUUCUUACCCUCAGUCCAACGAAAAUAUGUGAACUGUUAAGACCGACUCAAAUUCACCUUUGUGUUUCUCCGUAAGUUUCGCCUCUUUUUUCUUUUUUAAUUAUCAAUUUUUUUGAUUAUCAAUUUUUUCUUUGUUUACUUUUCCAGUUCUCGUUACUCGAAGAACAUUUCACCCUUUUUUGGGGUUUCUUUUCACAUUCUCCGGUUUUUUCAUUGAGGUUCCCAAAACCACUUUUGACAUUUCUGUUUCUACCUAAACUCUAUAAUUUAAAAUCAUCCUUUCACCACCCUACAAUAUUAAUUACUUAUUCCUUUUCAUAUUUCCCGUUACUUAAUUUAAGUCACUCUUUGUUUUUUGUUUUUACCGUAAUGAUUCACCGCUGUGGGUUUUGAUGGUUUUUGCACUUUGGCCGGACUUUCCUUUCAACUCAACCACGUAUUCUUCCAAUUUGACGUCGUGCCCGAUGAAGACAAAUUAUUGUCGAAACAUGUAGCACCGAACCAAUUUAAUAAAAGAAUUUUCAUCGUCA